This 673-nucleotide long non-coding RNA is filed under the name Sinocyclocheilus grahami. RNAcentral describes it as "lncRNA (ENSSGRG00000052738.1)". The record is from RNAcentral. Lineage: Eukaryota; Metazoa; Chordata; Actinopteri; Cypriniformes; Cyprinidae.
GUGGUCAUAAUGAACUGCCCUUGUGUAGAAAAUGUUAUAAUCGUUGUUACUUUUUCCCUUUUGUGUUUUAUGUGGAAAUAGUAAUACCAUAUGCAACAGCAUGAGGGUGAUUAAAUUAUGGCAGAAUGUACAUUUUAAAGCGAUCUAAUAGAUUUUUCAGAGCAAAAUGCAAGUGGGUACAAUCCUCCAGAACUUGUUGCAGAGAAACCCAUCCAGGAAGGCAUAGGAUCUGCAGAAAAAGAUGAAUGUCCACAAAAUCAAGUGUUUUAUGUUUCGUCAAAUGUUGUAACCAUAUUACCAUCAUUAUAUAUUCCGCGCCUACCAUAUGUGGAUGAGUCGCAAAUCCAUUACAAAGAAGAGAACCUGCUGGGGGAAGGUGCAUUUGGAAGAGUGUAUAGAGGCUACUUUCAGGGCACCCCUGCUGCCAUUAAAAAGAUUCUCUAUGGCACCGCAGGACUUCCAGACCAAGAUAUCCAGCACGAGAUUCUGGUCUCACUCCGACUGAGCCAUCCCAAUAUUGUUCGACUCAUGGCUGCAGCCCGCACUGACAAGGCCUUCCUGCUGGCCAAUGAGUAUAUACACGGCACGACCCUGGAGGAUGCACUACACACUGACCAUUCUUCUGUUAAGGUAAAAAAAAAAAAUCAUACUUUUCAUGUAACAUUUGUGAAAA